UGUGGUUAAUCUGGCAUUAAUGACAUCCUAUGUGUCAAGCCCACAAUUUUUCUUAUCAUUUUUUUAAUUUUAUUCAUUAAUAUAUUAUCAGCUCUUAAGCCUAAUAUAUUCUCACCAAGUUCUUCAUGCUGUCAUUAAUACCUAAUUCCCAAUCUCCAAACACGAUAUUUAUUCAAUACACAAUCUCCAAGCCCUAAUCUCACUUCCCAAAAUGCAAGCCGUAAAAGAAAAAAGAAAAACGCUUGGAGUUCUACAAUUGCUUCUACCACUUCCCUAUGCAGCACGCUUCAUCAAUUCUUUUCCUUAACCAACUCUUUUAUAAAUAUGCAGAGAUCUCUGCUGAAAUUACAUCCCUAUCAUACUGCUUCUCAUCAUUAUUCAGUUCACGAAGAAUAAGACGUAGAUCUGUUUAUGGGUUGUGGUUUUGAUUUCAAGUGAAGAAGAAAAUAGAAAUCUGCUUGUGGGUUUCAAGUGAAGAAGAAGAUGGAGAUCUGCUUGUGGGUUGUGGAUUCGAUUUCAAGCCAAGAAAAAGAUCUACUGAAGUAAAAGGUUGAUUUAAACUAGAUGCGAUCGUGAACUUCGGUUUUUAUCGAUUUCAUUUGUGCUUAUUUUCUUAUUAGCUUAAAAGAAUAAAAAUUGAUUUGCAAGUAUUUGAUUUAUGAAAAGGCUCAUACUCAAAGUGUGGGUACGAUAAAGAGAAAGAGGAAUGGGGACUAAGCCUUCCAAAUGUAGAAGAAACAUGAAGAAGUAAUACACACUGUCAGAUGCGAGCCAAUGAAGCCAAUGAAGGCAAAAAAUGAAGCAGCUAAAGAUAUGCAAAAGGAAUUGGAAGAUUUUAAACAAGGAUGUAAAAAAAUUGAAG
This is a long non-coding RNA of Vicia villosa (hairy vetch), 862 nucleotides long. RefSeq lists it as uncharacterized. The transcript is spliced from 4 exons. The record is from RefSeq and is a predicted model, not a curated record. Lineage: Eukaryota; Viridiplantae; Streptophyta; Magnoliopsida; Fabales; Fabaceae.